This is a non-coding RNA of Mycena maculata, 94 nucleotides long. NCBI's taxonomy places the organism in Eukaryota, Fungi, Basidiomycota, Agaricomycetes, Agaricales, Mycenaceae. The record is from the annotation of a GenBank genome assembly.
GUACCCUUGGUGUAGCGGUGACACAUUCGCUACAUCUGUUGACCAAAAGCAGAAGAAUAUGGGAAGGUCCAGGGUUCGAAUCCUUGAGGAUGCA